Molecule: long non-coding RNA, 1135 nt
Filed under: Oreochromis niloticus (Nile tilapia)
Lineage: Eukaryota; Metazoa; Chordata; Actinopteri; Cichliformes; Cichlidae
Description: lncRNA (ENSONIG00000023957.2)
Source: RNAcentral
UCUGACAAGGUCUGAGUGGCUGAGCUGGUCCCUUUGCACUGCAGCUGAUUAGACUGAUGAGGCACAGGUGGUGCAGCCAGGGAGUGGAAAAGGCUCCAAUUCCACCCUAAAGGGGCGGAGAGCUUCUGCACUUCCAACACAGAGGAUCAAAACACAGAUAGACCAGUCGCAGACAGUAAUGGAUGGAUGAAUGAAUAUGAAGCCAGUGCAGAAGUGCCAAAAGCAGCAUUUCAACAUGAAAUGAUGAUUUGACGCUGCCCCUAAAAAGUCCAACUCCAGGGAAGAACUUAACAUGUUUACUUGAGGCAGACAUCUAUAGCUGGUUUGGCCCUUCACAACAAAUGUACAGUGGGAAGAUUUUGGCCAGCUUGGCAGCCUAUGUGUUGCUCGUGUUCAGAAGUUUGAUGGCUUGAGGAAUAAAAGACCGUUUGGACCUGCUUUUGGUGAACAAUGGGUCUCAUUCGUGCAACCUGCAUCCUUCCCACCUCCAGCUCAUUCUGGCCAGUUAGAGAUCCUCAUCCAAGUCUCCACCUGCCUCAUUUCUUCCGCUACAACCAGUGUCGAGAUUCCGGGGGGUCCUGACCUACUUCUACCACUUUGGACUCCACUCUGCUGUGUAACUUGGUGUAAUCACCAAACAACUUUUUACUCAAACUCUGUUCUUCUAUAAAUCAUGUUCAAUUCUUUCGAAUGAUCUGUCCUUAUUGAACUGAUUCUGGGGACAUUUGGGGACAGGAGAACAACCUUUGAACACAACAAUAUUUAUAAUUUGAUACAGAGGUCUCGUGAGCAUGAAGUAAUAGUUCUCAUUUAGUUCCGGUUUUGGUUGCCACCAGGUGCCGAGGGAAAUACCUAGCCACUUAGCUGCUGAAUGCACCGCUAUAUUCACCUGCCAGUUCCUAAUCGUGUUUGCUGGACAUUUGAUAGUGGGCAGAUAAGGGCCAGUUGUUUUUAGAGCUUUUUAACUACAGUUGAGUGCACCAUCUGAAAUUUAUAUCACAGCAGUGAGAGUGUACCAAAACAGCAAAGUCAAAGGGACAUAGAGAAUUGGGUAUAUUGAAUAUAACUGCAGUCUGGUAAUAUAUCCGUGUCUUUGUUAGUACAAAUGUCUAAUGAAUCAAGCUUCUUUAAUGCA